GAUGAACGCUAGCUACAGGCUUAACACAUGCAAGUCGAGGGGUAACAAGAGAAAAGCUUGCUUUUCUUGUUGACGACCGGCGCACGGGUGAGUAACGCGUAUCCAACCUGCCUAUAACUAGGGAAUAACCUUGCGAAAGUAAGACUAAUACCCUAUGAUUUCCUUUGAUGACAUCAGAUUAGGAAUAAAGAUUUAUCGGUUAUAGAUGGGGAUGCGUCUGAUUAGCUUGUUGGCGGGGUAACGGCCCACCAAGGCAACGAUCAGUGGGGGUUCAGAGAGGAAGGUCCCCCACAAUGGAACUGAGAGACGGUCGAAACACCUACGGGAGGCAGGAGUGAGGAAUAUUGGUCAAUGGGCGGAAGCCGGAACCAGCCAAGUAGCGUGCAGGAUAAGGGCCCUAUGGGUUGUAAACUGCUUUUAUACAGGAAGAAAGUGAGCCACGUGUGGUUAUUUGUAGGUACUGUAUGCAUAAGGACCGGCUAAUUGCGUGCCAGCAGCCGCCGUAA
RNAcentral lists this ribosomal RNA (506 nucleotides) under uncultured bacterium. RNAcentral's name for it is "partial 16S ribosomal RNA". It matches the Rfam family "Bacterial small subunit ribosomal RNA", at positions 28 to 523 of the family's 1533-position model. The record is from RNAcentral.